CAGCUGCCUGGAGAAUCAGCAUUACCCAUGGAAAUCUCUGCAGAGAGGUUUUUGUACUCGGCUGCCAUCCUCCACCUGCAUCAGAAAAGAAGGCUCAAGGCUGAUGAAAGAAAAAUAAGAAGAUCUGUGAAAACCUAAAACUGGGUUUAACAGCAAUAGCAGCUGAAGCUUCUUGGAACUGAAAGGUUAUAGCAACAGCCAUCAGUACAGACAUGCCUCAGUAUUUACAUGGGAUCAAGAUAUCAGCUGAAGUAUCGUGUUUUUAAAUUCCUUUGAGAGCCUGUCUUAGUCCCUGGGGUUCAAGCAGCUGUGGCAGUGCAGGAUCAGAGGGAAUGUGAGAUGAGAUGAUUCUCCUCCACUGCGAAAAACUGUCACUCAGGCCUUCACCUAAGAAAAAAGGUGAUUUCUCUCUCCAGCUCCAGUGCCCAGCUCUGAAAUGAACCCAAGACUUGGAACCUUCCAAGGCUCAACAGAGAGUUGCCAAGCUGGAAAAAAAACACUGCUGGGAAACUCUAGCACUUCUCCUAGGCAGAAAUAUCCAGGAACCAGCUUGAAGGAACUGGCUGGCUCUCAUAAAAUACAUUACAUGUGGCUGUUCUGUCUCUCAUAUAUCUUUGCUUGUGUUACAAAAAAAUAGAGGUAGGGGCUGUAUGUUAAAGCAGGCCAGAUCAUAAAUGUGAAGGUAUAGCCAUAGUUUUACUCCGCAAUUGAAUAGUCUGGGAAAGUAAACAGAAGGAGAUGCAAGUAGAACAAAAGCAAGCUCAGCCUUCCAUCCAGUAGAAAAAAACCUGCUGGUGUGUUGGAUAUUGUACAGAACACCGCAGAAUUUUCCCCUGCACAUCAUGGGAUCAAAUAUACCUCACAGCUGAGUUGCAACUCUAGCACCUGUAUGCAAGCUGAGAAUCAAAUGGUGAGACACCAGGAAGAAGGAUACCUUGCUGAGAACUUCCUCAGAUUCACCCAGUGCUUCAGACAAAAAAAAACAAAAAAAAAAGAAAGAAAGAAAGAGGGCACUAUUUCUUGGAAUUCCUCUUCUAGGACUCAGCUUUCAAAGUGCACCAUCAGUAUUUGUCAGCAUGACUGGGACUUACUCUGUGUGGAAAAAACACUGGUGGCUCUUCUGAUUGCACGGGAUGUAUUUGAGAGUACUGAUGUGUGUUUACUACAGUGUGUGGUUAGCAUUCACGGUGUUGUUUCUAGCACGAAACAAAUACCAGGUUAGCAAGGUGUUUUAUUUCCCACAGCAAUGAUAGUGUGUCCCUGACAAUACUGUUCAUAUUCCUCCAGGGGAGAAAGUUAAUGCUGCUCCUUGCAGUCAAGCUUAUGUAGUGAUAAUAAACAGUACUUAAGAAAUUCACAGUUGCUGUCAAGGGUCUUCACAAAGGGGUCAUUUGUAAUGAAACAAAAGACAUAUCUGGUGGACUGACUUCUGGAAAGAAAAAAACAAUUAGAUAACACAUGAGAAUCCAUGGCUGGUUUUAGCUUUUCAAUGGUCUGAUUUGCUACUCGAGCACCCUUCAGUACCUUUUUUAAAUACAUCCCCCUAUGCAGUUAUUGGCUUUUGUGACUUGCACUUCCUUGACCCACAUAGCUAUCUUCAGUUGUCUGAGUACAGCCUGCAUCUAACAUUGCUUGCUAAACAAUUUUGAAAACCAGUGGAGUAACAUCAAAUGGUAUUCAAGAAAUUUGCAGCAGAUGAUUGCAAGGAGCAAAGCUGUGAGCACUGAAAUAUUGAUAAUAAGGAAAUGCAAGAUGCUUAUCUUGUCACUUUCAUUUUAGCACUUACCUUUAAUAAAAAUAUAAACCAAAGGCAUCUUGGAUCUCCUCCCUGAACAAACAUACUUCAAUACAGUAAUUGAGUUGAUAGUCUGUGCUAUUAAAAAUGGGUAAAAAUAGUUUAGAAGAAUGUGAAACAAAAUCUGUCUUUGAUGAGUGUGAGGAGAGAUGAGGCAGAACACCACAGAGUUUCACUUCAUCAGGGUUUUUGCAGCUCUAAUUUGAACAUGGCUAUUUUUAGAAGACUUGUACAUAUCAACAACACUAAUGACUGCCAACAGAGACAACCAUGUUCUUAGAGCCAGCGGCAUCGUGUGCAGCUCUCAGGAUUUAACUAAAGCAUGUUUUUGGCAAAUAGUAAUAAAAGUAAUUAAUUCUGUUUGUUUCCAACAAA
Corapipo altera (White-ruffed manakin) is the source of this 2170-nucleotide long non-coding RNA. RefSeq lists it as uncharacterized. The transcript is spliced from 3 exons. Lineage: Eukaryota; Metazoa; Chordata; Aves; Passeriformes; Pipridae. The record is from RefSeq and is a predicted model, not a curated record.